RNAcentral lists this ribosomal RNA (860 nucleotides) under uncultured archaeon. RNAcentral's name for it is "bacterial SSU rRNA". It matches the Rfam family "Archaeal small subunit ribosomal RNA", at positions 125 to 995 of the family's 1478-position model. The record is from RNAcentral.
CAUAACCUCGGGAAACUGGGGAUAAUACUCCAUAUAUUGGAGAAACUGGAAUGUUCUUUAAUCGAAAGUUCCGGCGCCAUAGGAUGGAUCUGCGGCCGAUUAAGUAGUUGUUGGGGUAACGGCCCAACAAGCCUGUAAUCCGUACGGGUUGUGGGAACAAGAACCCGGAAAUGGAAUCUGAAACACAAUUCCCGGGCCUACGGGGCGCAGCAGGGGCGAAAACUUUACAAUGGAGGAAACUGUGAUAAGGGAACCCCGAGUGCCCGUAUACACGGGCUGUCCAGGUGUCAAAAACGCAUCUGAAGAAAGGGCCGGGCAAGACCGGUGCCAGCCGCCGCGGUAAUACCGGCGGCUCGAGUGGUGACCACUUUUAUUGGGCUUAAACCGUUCGUAUCUGGACUCUUAAGUCUCUUGGGAAAUCCCGCGGCUUAACCGUGGGGCGUUUAAGAGAUACUGAGAGUCUAGGAACCGGGAGAGGUAAGAGGUACUUCAGGGGUAGAAUUGAAAUUCUGUAAUCCUCUCGGGACCACCCAUGGCGAAGGCAUCGUACCCGAACGGCUUCGACAGUGAGGAACGAAAGCUGGGCGAGCGAACCGGAUUGGAUACCCCGGUAGUCCCAGCCGUAAACGAUGCGCGUUAGGUGUACUGGUGACCACGAGUCACUGGGGUGCCGAACGGAAACCGUGAAACGUGCCGCCUGGCAAGUACAGUCCCGACGCUAAACUUAAAUGAAUUGACUGGGGAGCACCACAACGGGAGGAGCCUGCCCUUUAGUUGACUCAACUCCAGGCAGCUCACCUCAUCGACAGCGACAUGAUAUCAUGGCUGAGUACAUGCUUGACUUGCUGAGAUGAGUGCAU